This 316-nucleotide unclassified non-coding RNA is filed under the name Hevea brasiliensis (rubber tree). The record is from RNAcentral. Lineage: Eukaryota; Viridiplantae; Streptophyta; Magnoliopsida; Malpighiales; Euphorbiaceae.
GCAUUAAUCCCUCUGAUAGGUGUCAAUGGAGUAGUCCAAGUAAAGUUCAUGAAAGGAUUCAGUGCAGAUGCCAAGAUGAUGUACGAAGAAGCUAGCCAAGUUGCUAAUGAUGCAGUCGGGAGUAUAAGAACGGUUGCUUCUUUCUGUGCUGAAGAGAAGGUGAUGCAACUGUAUGAAAAGAAAUGUGAGGGGCCUAUGUGGACUGGAGUAAGGCUAGGAUUGAUCAGCGGCAUAGGAUUUGGACUGUCCUCCUUCUUUUUGUUCUGUUUCUAUGCAACUAGUUUCUAUGCGGGAGCAAGACUGGUUGAGGGUGGCC